CCUACGGGAGGCAGCAGUGGGGAAUCUUGCGCAAUGGGCGAAAGCCUGACGCAGCAACGCCGCGUGCGGGAAGAAGGCUUUCGGGCUGUAAACCGCUUUCAGCAGGAACGAAAAUGACGGUACCUGCAGAAGAAGGAGCGGCCAACUAUGUGCCAGCAGCCGCGGUGAUACAUAGGCUUCAAGCGUUGUCCGGAUUUAUUGGGCGUAAAGAGUUCGUAGGCGGUCGAGUAAGUCGGGUGUGAAAAUUCUGGGCUCAACCCAGAGACGCCACCCGAUACUGCUUGACUUGAGUUCGAUAGGGGAGUGGGGAAUUCCUAGUGUAGCGGUGAAAUGCGCAGAUAUUAGGAGGAACACCGGUGGCGAAGGCGCCACUCUGGAUCGAUACUGACGCUGAGGAACGAAAGCAUGGGUAGCAAACAGGAUUAGACACCCUGGUAGUCCAUGCCGUAAACGGUGGGCACUAGGUGUGGGUUUCUAUUAACGAAAUCCGCGCCGUCGCUAACGCAUUAAGUGCCCCGCCUGGGGAGUACGGUCGCAAGACUAAAACUCAAAUGAAUUGACGG
RNAcentral lists this ribosomal RNA (563 nucleotides) under uncultured bacterium. Its description in RNAcentral is "bacterial SSU rRNA". It matches the Rfam family "Bacterial small subunit ribosomal RNA", at positions 338 to 916 of the family's 1533-position model. The record is from RNAcentral.